UACGAAGGGGGCUAGCGUUGUUCGGAUUUACUGGGCGUAAAGCGCACGUAGGCGGAUCGUUAAGUCGGGGGUGAAAUCCUGGAGCUCAACUCCAGAACUGCCUUCGAUACUGGCGAUCUUGAGUCCGGAAGAGGUGAGUGGAACUCCUAGUGUAGAGGUGGAAUUCGUAGAUAUUAGGAAGAACACCAGUGGCGAAGGCGGCUCACUGGUCCGGUAUUGACGCUGAGGUGCGAAAGCCAGGGGAGCAAACGGG
This 253-nucleotide ribosomal RNA is filed under the name uncultured bacterium. RNAcentral's name for it is "partial 16S ribosomal RNA". It matches the Rfam family "Bacterial small subunit ribosomal RNA", at positions 524 to 776 of the family's 1533-position model. The record is from RNAcentral.